AUGGUAGUCCACGCCGUAAACGAUGUAUGCUAGUUGUUGGGGUCUCUAGGCCUCUGCGCCGCAGGGAAACCAUUAAGCAUACCGCCUGGGGAGUACGAUAGCAACGUUAAAACUCAAAAGAAUCGACGGGGACCCGCACAAGCGGUGGAGCAUGUUGUUUACUUCGAAUCAACGCGAAGAAUUUUACCCACACUUUACAUCCUUCUUGGGACUUUCAGAGAUGAUUGUAUUCGGUUCGGCCGGGGAAGUGACAGGUGCUGCAUGGCUGUCGUCAGCUCGCGUCGAGAGAUGUCCGGUUAAGUACCGCAACGAGGGCAUCCCUUAUCGGAUGUUGCCAUCAGGUUAUGCCGGGCACUCGUGCGAGACUGCCGGUGAUAAGCCGGAGGAAGGCGGGGACGACGCCAAGUCAUCAUGGCCCUUACGUGUGGGGCCACAAACCUGCUACAAUGGUAACGACAGUGGGCAGCUACUGUGGGAGGAGCAUUUAAUCCCUAAUCAUUAUAUCAGUUCCGAUUGUACUCUGCAACUCGAGACAUGAAGUUGGAAUCCCUAGUAAUCGUGAAUCCGCAUGUCACGGAGAAUACGUUCCCGGUCCUUGUACACCCCGCCC
This 610-nucleotide ribosomal RNA is filed under the name uncultured bacterium. RNAcentral's name for it is "bacterial SSU rRNA". It matches the Rfam family "Bacterial small subunit ribosomal RNA", at positions 787 to 1395 of the family's 1533-position model. The record is from RNAcentral.